RNAcentral lists this long non-coding RNA (1213 nucleotides) under Homo sapiens (human). Its description in RNAcentral is "HSALNT0171144". The record is from RNAcentral. Lineage: Eukaryota; Metazoa; Chordata; Mammalia; Primates; Hominidae.
CUACCACUGUGGCCUGUCCUGUGGUCUGACUUGGCCUGGCAAGGGCACUCGGGCGCAGGGCCAAGAGUGUGGGGCCUGCCUUCCUUGUAGCCCACUCCAGUCUCCUCCGCUGGCCGGGGAGGGCAGGGGAGCAGCUGCUGGAGCUGCGGCUGAGAGCGGGUGACGGGUACUGUUGUCAGGCAAGGCGGGGGUGCGGCUCCCGCUUGGCAUCCUCCACCAGGGCUGCAGUGAGAGGCGUGGCCAGCAGGUGAGCAGGCAGAGGAGUGUGUGGGUGCACCCAGCCCAGCAGCCUGGCCACGAGGGCCCCCUGGCACCCAGGCGCUGCUCUUCAUCAGAGUCUGCCCUGUGCCAGCUGGCAGGGCCAGCAUAGGGAUGUUUCACUUACGUACACUUCACAAGGGAAGCGGCAGGCUGAGGAGCUGUCUGCUGAGGGCCAAGACCUGGGGACACGCCACAAGUGGGGACAGCAGUUCCUGAGGAUCCCAAUGAGCCCUGGUGGGAGGGGGCCAUGGGGAGGGUCCCAGGGAGCAGGUGCUGGGCACUGUAGCGUGUCUGGGCCAGCUUUGACCCUCAGGAGGGUGGGCUGGGGUCAGCCAAGCCGCUUCUUAGAACCUGGGGAUAUCAAAAAGAGCAGAGCUGGCCUGCUGUGCCCAGCACCAGCCAGGACAGGAGACAGCAGGGGAGGGGCACCGGCAUAUCACCUACUCAGGGCUGCAGGAGCUGGGUGGGGGCAGGCAGCAGGCACCAGGAAAGAAGGGGGAGUGAUAAGGGAUGUGGGCUGAGACUGGUGGGAGUUCUGGGUUCAGGAUAAGCUUGGCCACAGCCUCGAGGAGAGAGGAGGAAGUCCCCACCCCAGCUGGACCCGCAUUUCUGGCCAUGUUCAGACGCCCUGCGGUCCGGUCUCCACUCCAGGUGCUCUGUCCGGGCAGGAGGCUGUGACGCACCCUCUUUGUCAAGGGGCAUUCAGGGAUAAGGCUCCUACCUGCAAGGAGCUCACUCUAGAAGGGGAGCGACUCUGAAGCAGACAGGAUGGGGCCAACCGCGUGGGGUGAGGAGGAGGCAUCCCAACCGGGAGGAUGGGGAGGUCCCUGCAGGGGGUCCGACCCAAUGUGAAUGCUCGUCUGUCAUGAUGGAAAAUUUUGGAAGACACUGGCACAGGGGGCUGGAGUAGGAGUGGUCACCAGGGAACAGCAUUUCCGAAGGCUGGAACAGC